Molecule: transfer-messenger RNA, 359 nt
Filed under: Spirochaetia bacterium
Lineage: Bacteria; Pseudomonadati; Spirochaetota; Spirochaetia
Also listed under: 1 other name
Rfam family: transfer-messenger RNA
About the family: Bacterial tmRNA, also known as 10Sa RNA or SsrA, is named for its dual tRNA and mRNA-like properties. Its role is to liberate the mRNA from a stalled ribosome.
Source: RNAcentral
GGGGGUGCCCCGGUUUCGACUGGCACGGUCCGGAUCGUGGGUCGCAGGUGGAGUGCCGUACUCCUACUCAGCGGCAAAACCUUAAUUGCCAACAACAACGGCAAUUUCGCCCUCGCUGCGUAAGCACCGAUGACGACGGGCCCCAUGGCGCGCUGUUCCGAGCGCCAUGACGGCCUGCAACCCAACCGGGACUUGCCCCACGCCCAGCCCGCGGGACGUGGGGGACAACCAGCGGGAUACGGAAGCGGCCGCGCGGCGGUUCGCCCUCCGCUUCCCGACAACCUUAAAAGCCGCCUAAACCUGUAGACGCCCUCGUUUCGCGUUUCAGGACGCGGGUUCGACUCCCGCCACCUCCAAAA